Non-coding RNA from Pimephales promelas (fathead minnow), 1707 nucleotides. The record is from RefSeq and is a predicted model, not a curated record. Lineage: Eukaryota; Metazoa; Chordata; Actinopteri; Cypriniformes; Leuciscidae.
UUUGUACCGCAGAGUUUAGAUUUUAAUGAACUUACAAAAACACAUAUGAAUUUAUAUGCAUGUACACAUUCAAGAAGGACCAGAGAACCCAAGACUCGGAAGGGGAGAAAGAAUGCACACGUAGUGCCUGCUCAGCGAAUCUCAAAAGAGGAACUAGGAGUCGCAUGACUAUUGUGUCGCAAGGGUAUCCGUUGGAAAAACCCAGAUGGUCUGAGAGAUUGUGUCACACAGCCAGUAUAAAUAAGGCUGCUUUCUCAGUGUUAGUUGUUGCAUCUUGCUAGAAGAUUUUUGCGUGCAUCCCUGAAGGUAAUCAUUCUUCAGUCCAGCUUGCUGGAACAUAUAUUGCUUUAACUGCUUAGCUGUAUGAUGUUAACUUAACCUGCUCAUAGAAGGACAAGGUUAGUUAUUCAUUUGAUACUUGAACUGUGUAUGUUAAGAAAAACUUUGUGACUGAACCACUUAUACAGGACUGCCCUGUUAAGUUGGGAGAAACUGAGGUAUUAUAAUCUGUAACCUUUUCUUUUGUUGCUACUAUUAACAAUCAUUGUGUAACCAGUGUUAUUAUCGUUUGUAUAAAUAAAUUUUCAUUUUAUAAAGAUAAAAGUUGAAUAGUUCUUUGCCUCGGGUCACAAUACCAGUUCUAUAAGCAAUAGUAAGAGCAUUAAAGCAACCCUUGCGAGGGCAAGAGGUCACCAGGACUCCACGGAAGCAUCUCCACGGAGGAUCUGCCUGGAGCGUCUGACACAGGUUCGAUGGGAACCAAGAGUGCUGAACGAGGGCAUAGCAGCCAGGGGAAGCGAACUGGCCUUGGCCCUGGCAGAUCUGGUGACAAUGGACCAGGCCCCAAGACAAAAGGACUCACUCCGGUGGAUGCCGGUGGACCGGCGUUGGUAUCGACAAACGAUGGGCUGUCUGUUGGCACAGUACGGAAGGCUGAUAAUUGGCUUCUUCCAAAGAGAGUCUGAGUUAAGAUAUAGGUUUUAUGAGUGUUGUUUGGAUUUUGUGGUGCCCACUGUCUAUGUUUAUAAUGUUAAACUUGAUGAACUUGAUGUUAUUUAUCCGAGGGAUUUUAUUAAGCGUGUUUUUGUGACUUCAAGAGGGGGUGUACCGCAGAGUUUAGAUUUUAAUGAACUUACAAAAACACAUAUGAAUUUAUAUGCAUGUACACAUUCAAGAAGGACCAGAGAACCCAAGACUCGGAAGGGGAGAAAGAAUGCACACGUAGUGCCUGCUCAGCGAAUCUCAAAAGAGGAACUAGGAGUCGCAUGACUAUUGUGUCGCAAGGGUAUCCGUUGGAAAAACCCAGAUGGUCUGAGAGAUUGUGUCACACAGCCAGUAUAAAUAAGGCUGCUUUCUCAGUGUUAGUUGUUGCAUCUUGCUAGAAGAUUUUUGCGUGCAUCCCUGAAGGUAAUCAUUCUUCAGUCCAGCUUGCUGGAACAUAUAUUGCUUUAACUGCUUAGCUGUAUGAUGUUAACUUAACCUGCUCAUAGAAGGACAAGGUUAGUUAUUCAUUUGAUACUUGAACUGUGUAUGUUAAGAAAAACUUUGUGACUGAACCACUUAUACAGGACUGCCCUGUUAAGUUGGGAGAAACUGAGGUAUUAUAAUCUGUAACCUUUUCUUUUGUUGCUACUAUUAACAAUCAUUGUGUAACCAGUGUUAUUAUCGUUUGUAUAAAUAAAUUUUCAUUUUAUAAAGAUAAAAGUU